This 571-nucleotide ribosomal RNA is filed under the name Meyerozyma caribbica. RNAcentral describes it as "eukaryotic LSU rRNA". It matches the Rfam family "Eukaryotic large subunit ribosomal RNA", at positions 62 to 648 of the family's 3401-position model. The record is from RNAcentral. Lineage: Eukaryota; Fungi; Ascomycota; Pichiomycetes; Serinales; Debaryomycetaceae.
AAACCAACAGGGAUUGCCUUAGUAGCGGCGAGUGAAGCGGCAAAAGCUCAAAUUUGAAAUCUGGCACCUUCGGUGUCCGAGUUGUAAUUUGAAGAUUGUAACCUUGGGGUUGGCUCUUGUCUAUGUUUCUUGGAACAGGACGUCACAGAGGGUGAGAAUCCCGUGCGAUGAGAUGCCCAAUCCUAUGUAAGGUGCUUUCGAAGAGUCGAGUUGUUUGGGAAUGCAGCUCUAAGUGGGUGGUAAAUUCCAUCUAAAGCUAAAUAUUGGCGAGAGACCGAUAGCGAACAAGUACAGUGAUGGAAAGAUGAAAAGANCUUUGAAAAGAGAGUGAAAAAGUACGUGAAAUUGUUGAAAGGGAAGGGUUUGAGAUCAGACUCGAUAUUUUGUGAGCCUUGCCUUCGUGGCGGGGUGACCCCGCAGCUUAUCGGGCCAGCAUCGGUUUGGGCGGUAGGAUAAUGGCGUAGGAAUGUGACUUUGCUUCGGUGAAGUGUUAUACCCUGCGUUGAUGCUGCCUGCCUAGACCGAGGACUGCGAUUUUAUCAAGGAUGCUGGCAUAAUGAUCCCAAACCGC